CCUUACCCACCUUUGACAUGGCAGGAACUUACCAGAGAUGGUUUGGUGCUCGAAAGAGAACCUGCACACAGGUGCUGCAUGGCUGUCGCCAGCUCGUGUCGUGAGAUGUUGGGUUAAGUCCCGCAACGAGCGCAACCCUUGCCAUCAGUUGCUACGAAAGGGCACUCUGAUGGGACUGCCGGUGACAAGCCGGAGGAAGGUGGGGAUGACGUCAAGUCCUCAUGGCCCUUAUAGGUGGGGCUACACACGUCAUACAAUGGCCGGUACAAAGGGCAGCCAACCCGCGAGGGGGAGCCAAUCCCGUAAAGCCGGUCGUAGUCCGGAUCGCAGUCUGCAACUCGACUGCGUGAAGUCGGAAUCGCUAGUAAUCGCUGAUCAGCAGGCAGCGGUGAAUGCGUUCCCGGGCCUUGUACACACCGCCCGUCACACCAUGGGAGUUGAUUGCUCCAGAAGUGGCUGCGCAAACCCGCAAGGGAAGCAGGUCCCCAAGGAGUGGUCGAUGACUGGGGUGAAGUCGUAACAAGGUAGCCGUAGGGGAACCUGCGGCUGGAUCAC
RNAcentral lists this ribosomal RNA (555 nucleotides) under uncultured bacterium. Its description in RNAcentral is "bacterial SSU rRNA". It matches the Rfam family "Bacterial small subunit ribosomal RNA", at positions 969 to 1526 of the family's 1533-position model. The record is from RNAcentral.